This is a non-coding RNA of Hordeum vulgare subsp. vulgare (domesticated barley), 136 nucleotides long. NCBI's taxonomy places the organism in Eukaryota, Viridiplantae, Streptophyta, Magnoliopsida, Poales, Poaceae. The record is from Rfam.
AAACUACUCCCUCCGUUUCAAAAUUCUUGUCUUAGCUUUUUCUAGAAAUGGAUGUAUCUAAAUACUAAAACUUGACUAGAUACAUUCACAUCUAAACAAAUCUAUGACAAGAAUUUUAGGACGGAGGAAGUAGUAA